GACGAACGCUGGCGGCGUGCCUAAUACAUGCAAGUUGAGCGCUGAAGGUUGGUACUUGUACCAACUGGAUGAGCAGCGAACGGGUGAGUAACGCGUGGGGAAUCUGCCUUUGAGCGGGGGACAACAUUUGGAAACGAAUGCUAAUACCGCAUAAAAACUUUAAACACAAGUUUUAAGGUUGAAAGAUGCAAUUGCAUCACUCAAAGAUGAUCCCGCGUUGUAUUAGCUAGUUGGUGAGGUAAAGGCUCACCAAGGCGAUGAUACAUAGCCGACCUGAGAGGGUGAUCGGCCACAUUGGGACGGAGACACGGCACAAACGCCUACGGGAGGCAGCAGUAGGGAAUCUGCGGGCAUGGACGAAAGUCUGAGCGAGAAACGCCGAGUGAGGGAAGAAGGUUUUCGGAUCGUAAAACUCGGUUGGUAGAGAAGAACGUUGGUGAGAGUGGAAAGCUCAUCAAGUGACGGUAACUACCCAGAAAGGGACGGCUAACUACGUG
Molecule: ribosomal RNA, 497 nt
Filed under: uncultured bacterium
Lineage: Bacteria
Description: partial 16S ribosomal RNA
Rfam family: Bacterial small subunit ribosomal RNA
Source: RNAcentral